CAUGUUUUAACUGUAGUGACUGAAAAUUUGUUACUACGCUAGUCUAUGCUCCAACCACCUGGUAUAUCAAUCAGUCAGGCCAACAGUCGGGGUUGCAUGGGAUUGCGCAAGUCUUUGCCAGUGCGACUAUGUAAUGGCUAUGUCUACUAACGUUUUUUCUACGUGUGUUUUACACAUGAUACUAGUAUGGCGCUGUGGCAUGCCCGCAGUCCCCACUACGACCAAUGGAAUGUUUGGAGAAUAUGUCCAAGCUUUCAAGUUUGAUGUGAUCCUUUUUUUUUUACAUGUUGGCCUGCUGUUUAAAACCUUUCUCCCCUUUCCUAGCUCCCCCUUUUCCGCUAUGGAAUAACCCAUGGUCGCUGGCCAAUGGGCUGCCUAGUAUUCAUAUUGCGCAAUAUUGCGCAAUGCAGAUGAAACGUAAACCAAGCUGAUCCGUGCACAGCAGUCAUUUCGCUGCCAGACAGAGGGGAGACAACACAUGUCUGGGACCGGUCUCUGAUGAUUAGUAACAACUGCCCCCACGAAGUCAACGCACUCCCCUGCACUUCGAACGCAGGACAGUGAAGAAGUGAAACCUAAUGACGGUUGAUGAUUGACAGGACGCGUGUGAACCUGACAUCUUGCUAUAUUGCCGGUUAAUUGAAAACGUGACAAACCCUGAUUUCUCCGAUGACCCCGAUAACCCGAUGACCCCGGGGCAGAGAAAGCUGACAUAGCUUGAUACAACGUUUGCCGGUUCCCACGUUGUUGUUUUUUCCAACAUUUCCAAACUCCCCCUUUUCCGCUAUGGAAUAACCCAUGGUCGCUGGCCAAUGGGCUGCCUAGUAUUCAUAUUGCGCAAUGCAGAUGAAACGUAAACCAAGCUGAUUACGAACACAGCAGUCAUUUCGCGGCCAGACAGAGGGGAGACAACACGUGUCUGAGACUGGUCUCUGAUGAUUAAUUACGACUGACCCCACGAAGUCAACGCACUCACCUGCACUUCGGGGCUCAUCAUAAAGAUAAACAAGAUCAAAAGAAGUACUAUAAUACUUGCAGUGGAAAGGAAACAUCUCAUCAUCAUGGACUUCUUAUUCUAUUUCUUAUCACUUUUAUUAUUCUCAUUCAAAAACGAAUCA
This is a long non-coding RNA of Branchiostoma floridae (Florida lancelet), 1118 nucleotides long. RefSeq lists it as uncharacterized. The transcript has 4 exons. The record is from RefSeq and is a predicted model, not a curated record. NCBI's taxonomy places the organism in Eukaryota, Metazoa, Chordata, Leptocardii, Amphioxiformes, Branchiostomatidae.